UGGGGAAUUUUGGACAAUGGACGCAAGUCUGAUCCAGCCAUGCCGCGUGCGGGAAGAAGGCCUUCGGGUUGUAAACCGCUUUUGUCAGGGAAGAAACGAGUUUCUCUAAUACAGAGACUUAAUGACGGUACCUGAAGAAUAAGCACCGGCUAACUACGUGCCAGCAGCCGCGGUAAUACGUAGGGUGCGAGCGUUAAUCGGAAUUACUGGGCGUAAAGCGUGCGCAGGCGGUGAUGUAAGACAGAUGUGAAAUCCCCGGGCUCAACCUGGGACCUGCAUUUGUGACUGUAUAGCUAGAGUACGGUAGAGGGGGAUGGAAUUCCGCGUGUAGCAGUGAAAUGCGUAGAUAUGCGGAGGAACACCGAUGGCGAAGGCAAUCCCCUGGACCUGUAUUGACGCUCAUGCACGAAAGCGUGGGGAGCAUACA
RNAcentral lists this ribosomal RNA (427 nucleotides) under uncultured bacterium. RNAcentral's name for it is "bacterial SSU rRNA". It matches the Rfam family "Bacterial small subunit ribosomal RNA", at positions 355 to 774 of the family's 1533-position model. The record is from RNAcentral.